Molecule: small RNA, 148 nt
Filed under: Macaca fascicularis (crab-eating macaque)
Lineage: Eukaryota; Metazoa; Chordata; Mammalia; Primates; Cercopithecidae
Description: Metazoan signal recognition particle RNA (ENSMFAG00000055258.1)
Source: Rfam by way of RNAcentral
GCCAGGUGUGGUGGUGCACACCUGUAAUCCCAGCUACUGGGGAGGCUGAGGCAGGAGAAUCACUUGAACCUGAGAGCCAGAGGUUGCAGUGAGCCGAGAUGGUGUCAUUGCACUCCAGCUUAGGUGACAGAGUGAGACUCUGUCUCAA